AAUCAUUAUUAAUCAAAUAUUUUCUUCAGAUGAAUUAAUUCAAACUCCAAGUUCAAGUUUAACAUAUCCUAUAUCAAAUGCAAGUUUUCAAGAAAAAGUUAUUAAAUGGAUAAGCGAUAGAUUGUACAACUAAAGCCUAUAGGAGAGCUUGAUUACAAAGAUAUGAUCAAGAAUAUAAUCAAACGAUUUUUCACAUUUUUUAUUUUUAUAAACGUUUUUUCGUGCGUGAAAUGAACAUGAAUGGUACCGAAAGCUAAAACGAGUUAGCAUUUGGUGGAAGCGAGACCGACAAAAUAAUAUGGAAAGUAGUGACACUUAAGUUCCUAAAGAUGACGGGAAAAGAAAUUUUAUCAAGUUGUUAAGAGCCUCCUUAGAAAUGCCCCUGCACGAGCAACAAAGAUAGCAGUCGUAUAAAAAAUAAUAUUGAUGUUGGUGGAAUGCAAGAAGCGUACUUGAGUGAAGUUCGACUGGAACUUUAAAGUCUGACUUUGUCAAGUUAGACUUCAAAAAAAAAAGCUUGAGCAAAUAUGUAAACGAAACUUAAAGAUUUCAAGAUUGCGCUUGAGAAAGUCAAACUUAAAAGACGUUGAUUUAAAAGCGAUAUCGAAAAAACUUUUUUGUAACCAAUACACAGUGGGCCAAAGUUUAGCAAAAGGGUCAAAACGAAAGAUCGUAUAUUGACUUUUUUAAUCAUUUGCAAUUAACAUGCGUACGUUAAUGGCAAUGAAUGUUUAUUUUAUAAUACACUUGAUUAAUUUUGUAAACCUUUUAGAAUGCUUCAAAGUCAAAAAGUUGUUAAAAUAUGUGUGAAAAACAUGUAAAUACUGGGAAUACAUCUGUAACAUUUAGAAAUAAUCUAUCCUUAUGGAAUUUGAAAACAUUUAUACGUAUUUA
Long non-coding RNA from Hydra vulgaris (swiftwater hydra), 894 nucleotides. RefSeq lists it as uncharacterized. Lineage: Eukaryota; Metazoa; Cnidaria; Hydrozoa; Anthoathecata; Hydridae. The record is from RefSeq and is a predicted model, not a curated record.